RNAcentral lists this small nuclear RNA (160 nucleotides) under Cervus elaphus hippelaphus. It matches the Rfam family "U1 spliceosomal RNA". From Rfam's summary of the family: U1 is a small nuclear RNA (snRNA) component of the spliceosome (involved in pre-mRNA splicing). Its 5' end forms complementary base pairs with the 5' splice junction, thus defining the 5' donor site of an intron. There are significant differences in sequence and secondary structure between metazoan and yeast U1 snRNAs, the latter being much longer (568 nucleotides as compared to 164 nucleotides in human). The record is from RNAcentral. Lineage: Eukaryota; Metazoa; Chordata; Mammalia; Artiodactyla; Cervidae.
UUAUCUGUACAAGGAGAUACCAUGAUCAAGAACGUGGUUCUCCCAGGGCGAGGCUCACCCAUUGCAGUCCGGGUGUGAUGACCUCUGCGAUUUCCUCAAAUACGGGAAACUCGACUGUAUAAUUUAUGGUAGUGGGGGACUGCGUGCGCGCUUUCCCCUG